CAAGCAUGCACACAAUAUACAGAACUACCAAGGACAAGGUGUUUUGUUGGCUUUAUUUUUUAUUAUUGCACUAUAGCAGCACCCUUUUAUCUACUCUGGGCUGUUAGAUACCAUUUUGAGAUACCUGCUGGUGGCAAUAUUUUCACAUUGGUCUAAUUGUAGGAAAAUCAUUGUGCAGACACAAGAUGUGCUUUCUGAGGUGUACCCAGGAAAGGAAAGCUUUACAGAUGCCUCGUUCCAUUUCUCAUAGGCCAUCCAGAUAGAAGGAUAAGAGUAGAAGAGCACUGUGGGUCUGUUCAGGAAGUCUGAACAGCUGAACCAAUAGAAAAAAAAAGAUGAAUCAUCUUGUUUCAAAACUGCUCCUUGGGAGGAUUUGCUACCACAUUGUUGUUGCAGGACCAGCUGGUAUAGAGGACCAAAGGCUUCCUGGGCAAGCCACCGUGGGGCUCCCUGUUCCCCAGGUCUGCGGAGAUGACCCCCUCACUCAAGACUCGCCCUCCACGAGCACAGACUCUGGCAACAGAGAACAUCAUGCCAGUCUAAAUAAAGGUCUUCCCAGCUGUGAUGGGGAAGAGAAAGUUGAAUGGAGGCUACUGGAUAGCAGAAAGCAGAUAUUUCACGUGGAUGUACUUGGCAGACAUGCUCAGACCAAGAAAAAAGCUGCUGCUUACAAAAUAUGCUAA
This 683-nucleotide long non-coding RNA is filed under the name Coturnix japonica (Japanese quail). Its description in RNAcentral is "lncRNA (ENSCJPG00005019398.1)". The record is from RNAcentral. Lineage: Eukaryota; Metazoa; Chordata; Aves; Galliformes; Phasianidae.